This 1413-nucleotide long non-coding RNA is filed under the name Sus scrofa (pig). RNAcentral describes it as "lncRNA (ENSSSCG00060027913.1)". Lineage: Eukaryota; Metazoa; Chordata; Mammalia; Artiodactyla; Suidae. The record is from RNAcentral.
GACAGAGAAAUUAAGAAACUUGCCCAAGGUUUACAGUAGAAAGUACUUAGCUAGUAACAUAAAUAAACAUACCUCAGGCCAAAAAGUAGAUUAAAUUAUUGGGUGCCACUAGAGACCAUGAAUACGGUCAAGGAAACUGACUUAAGCUCAGUAUGUGGAGGAGGAACUAUAUAGAACUAUCUUAAAAAUGAAUAAACGGGAGUUCCCAUUGUGGAUCAGCGAGUUAAGAACCCAGCAUAGUGCCCCGAGGAUGCGGGUUUGAUCCCUGGCCUCGCUCAGUGGGUUAAGGAUCUGGAGUUGUCACAAGCCUCAUCGUAGGUCGCAGAUGUAGCUUAGAUCCAGUUCCUGUGGCUGUGGUGUAGGCCUCAGCUGAAGCUCUAAUUUAACCUCUAGCCUAGGAACUUCCACAUGCCACAGGUGAGGCUAGAGACUGGGUAGAUGACUUUUAAGUCUCUUUCUACCUCGGUUUUGUGGAAUUGAUUCUGAUAAAUAUCUUGACUUCUUUCUCUCAUUAUUAUUCCUUUAAUGCAGUGUCCCUAAUUCUUACUAGUUUAAUGGACUGUUAUGAAAAAGUUUUAUGUUUCUGUCACUAGAAUUGACUAUCCUCAAAAAAACAUGGUUUUUGCCCAUUUUAAUCACAGGCAUACCUUAGUUUGCCUGUUUUAAGUGAAUGUCCUCACACAAGUAAUCCUGACGUCCAUACCUCUUUAAAAUUGAAUUUAAAAAAUGCUUCAAUGGAGAAAAGCUGUUGCAGCAGUCAUAUUUCCAUCACCCUCCUAGUGGAUUUCCAUGACUGUCCUCUUUUUUAUUGUAUUACACCUCCAAAUCUUGCAGCUAUGUUGAUUAUACAUUAGGCAUCUGCUUAUGACCUUGUCCUGGGUCUUUCCUUUGGUCAUUUGGAUCCUAAUGAAAAGAAAAGAAAAGAAAAGGGAGCAUGAUUCAAAGUGACAGACUUUGUUGCCUAACUGUCAGACUGACUUCCUGAUCACAUUUUUUCUGGGUCCUUAGACAGAAAGCCAAUGUUUAUUACCAGCAGUGAAUUGGUCAUCUGGCCAAUUUUAUUAUCACAGAGCCAGCCAGCAACAAUCCAUACCAGAUUUUUUCGUGUGUGCUAGAGCAUAAUCAACAAAACCAAGGCUUUUGGCAGAUCUGUGCUUUUUGCAGUGUUCCUCCCAAGUUCUGCAGAUCUCCUUAUUUACAGAAUUCCUAGCAAGGGACCAGGAAGAUCUUGGCCUAAUGGAGCAGACGGGUGAUUGUGGAAGAGGAUACAUCCUACCGUUUUUCAGUUCUGACUGGUUCUUUCUUCUCUGUAGAACAAGAGGUGUAAUACUCUUGUAAUUUUCGAAAGGCUUUUGAUUAUGCAAAGAUCUCAUUGUGACAGCUAAUAUGGUGGUGAUGUUGAUGGCACUAGAA